Long non-coding RNA from Apteryx haastii (Great spotted kiwi), 1551 nucleotides. The record is from Ensembl. Lineage: Eukaryota; Metazoa; Chordata; Aves; Apterygiformes; Apterygidae.
AUGGGCGCCUGGUGCACAACUCGUACCCAUGCCUCCGCGGGGCUCUGGGAACGCUCCUCAUCCCUGAGCUCCCAUAGCUGCAGUGGAGGCGGCUCCGGGCCCCAAGAACGCUCCUCAUCCCUGAGCUCCCAUAGCUGCAGUGGAGGCGGCUCCAGGCCCCGGGAAUGCUCCUUAUCCCUGAGCUCCCAUUGCUGCAGCGGAGGCAGCUCCAGGCCCCAGGAACGCUCCUCAUCCCUGAGCUCCCAUUGCCGCCGCGGAGGCGGCUCCAGGCCCCAGGAACGCUCCUCAUCCCUGAGCUCCCAUUGCCGCGGCAGAGGCGGCUCCAGGCCCCGGGAACGCUCCUCAUCCCUGAGCUCCCAUUGCCGCAGUGGAGCCAGCUCCAGGCCCCAGGAACACUCCUCAUCCCUGAACUCCCAUAGCCACGGUGGAGGUGGCUCCGGGUCCCGGGAACGCUCCUCAUCCCUGAGCUCCCAUUGCCAUGGUGGAGGCAGCUCCAGGCCCCGGGAAUGCUCCUCAUCCCUGAGCUCCGUCCCUCGCCCCGCACCCGGGCACCACCUGCCCUUGCUGGAGCGCUGCUGCCUCCUCCCCAUCCUGUUCCGUCCCGCUUGUGCUGGGGAACAGAGCAAUCGGAGGGUUUGCUGCCUUCCCAGGCGCCCGGUGCCCCCCGCUGUCCCCCUCGCCCUUCCUGGUGGCAGUCGAGUCAUCGUCACCGUUUGGGCCGUGCCGCUUGCCUUGGGGACCCACCACAGGGCAGCGCCCACCAGGGCAAACCAGGGCAGGAACGCAGCUCAGCGCCACUUUUUCUGUCCCUGUCCCCCCCUGCUCCGGGCUCUUUCCCUCUCGCUCCCCUUUGGCUUUAGGGCUGGGUCAGGAGGUCCCCAUUCGGCCGAGCCAGGACCCUGCCCCGUGUCCCGCGGGGGCACCCAGCUCGCCGGGGUGCUGCUGCUGGGAUGCUGCGGCCAUGGGRUGCUGCUGCCCACGGGACACCACUGUUUGUGGGACGUCACUGCCCAUGGGACACCGCUGCCCAUGGGAUGCUGCUGCCGGUGGGACACCACUGCCCAUGGGAUGCUACUGCCCAUGGGACACCACCAUCUGUGGGACACUGCUGCCCAUGGGACGCUACCACCCAUGGGACACCGCCACCCAUGGGACGCCACUGCCCAUGGGAUGCUGCUGCCCAUGGGACACCAUCGUCUGUGGGACACCACUGCCCAUGGGAUGCAACUGCCCAUGGGACACCACUGCCCAUGGGAUGCCACUGCCCAUAGGAUGCCGCUGCCCAUGGGAUGCCACUGCCCAUGGGAUGCUGAAGCCCAUGGAACACCACUGUCCGUGGGACACCACCGUCUGUGGGACACCACUGCCCAUGGGAUGUCACUGCCCAUAGGAUGCUGCUGCCCAUGGGAUGCUGAAGCCCAUGGAACACCAUUGUCCGUGGGACACCAUUGCCCAUGGGAUGCUGCUGCCCAUGGGAUGCUGAAGCCCAUGGGAUGCUGCUGCCCAUGGGACACCACUGCCUAUGGGACGCUGCUGUCCAUGGGAUGCUGA